This 29-nucleotide non-coding RNA is filed under the name Mus musculus (house mouse). The record is from RNAcentral. Lineage: Eukaryota; Metazoa; Chordata; Mammalia; Rodentia; Muridae.
UGAGUGUUGCUUGUUCCUUAAAAAGUGUC